AUUGAACGCUGGCGGCAGGCCUAACACAUGCAAGUCGAGCGGAUGAAGGGAGCUUGCUCCUGGAUUCAGCGGCGGACGGGUGAGUAAUGCCUGGGAAUCUGCCUGGUAGUGGGGGAUAACGUCCGGAAACGGGCGCUAAUACCGCAUACGUCCUGAGGGAGAAGGUGGGGGAUCUUCGGACCUCACGCUAUCAGAUGAGCCUAGGUCGGAUUAGCUAGUUGGUGGGGUAAAGGCCUACCAAGGCGACGAUCCGUAACUGGUCUGAGAGGAUGAUCAGUCACACUGGAACUGAGACACGGUCCAGACUCCUACGGGAGGCAGCAGUGGGGAAUAUUGGACGAUGGGCGAAAGCCUGAUCCAGCCAUGCCGCGUGUGUGAAGAAGGUCUUCGGAUUGUAAAGCACUUUAAGUUGGGAGGAAGGGCAGUAAGUUAAUACCUUGCUGUUUUGACGUUACCAACAGAAUAAGCACCGGCUAACUUCGUG
RNAcentral lists this ribosomal RNA (484 nucleotides) under uncultured bacterium. Its description in RNAcentral is "partial 16S ribosomal RNA". It matches the Rfam family "Bacterial small subunit ribosomal RNA", at positions 30 to 507 of the family's 1533-position model. The record is from RNAcentral.